Molecule: long non-coding RNA, 173 nt
Organism: Thalassophryne amazonica
Lineage: Eukaryota; Metazoa; Chordata; Actinopteri; Batrachoidiformes; Batrachoididae
Exons: 4
Source: RefSeq, a predicted model, not a curated record
UGCUGCAAUGCACCAUGAGAGUUUGGGGUUUUAAAUGUUGUUAUUGUAGUUCAUGUUGGUUUAACAGUGUUGUUCGUGUUAUUGAUUUAUUGUGUUUUUGUAGUUCAGUUGCUUUAGUCAGUUUAAUUAAAUCUCAUGUUACCAUUACCAUGAAUGACUUGUUCUGCUCCCAG